Molecule: long non-coding RNA, 3613 nt
Organism: Musa acuminata AAA Group (dessert banana)
Lineage: Eukaryota; Viridiplantae; Streptophyta; Magnoliopsida; Zingiberales; Musaceae
Exons: 5
Source: RefSeq, a predicted model, not a curated record
UAUUCUAAUAUGAUGAACGGGCGUAGUUAUCAUUCAACCAACGGGACGUACCGUCGGAACCAAUCAUAGUUUAUGCGUAAUACUUGAGCGUUACCCACGUCAAUGGAGUCGAAUUUGGGGUUAGAAUCCAUAGAUAAACAACUUCGAAGAUGAUGGGAGGGACGAGAGAACAAUUCUCUUGGAUCGGAUAUAUGGGUUGAAAUAGGGUAGAGUGAUCUUGCAAGGAUAGAAGGAUAUUACAGCUUGGACAGGAUCUUUAUAGAAGGAACAUAAGACUAUGCCAGAGAACACAUUACUGAAUUUUCAAUUUCUACAAGGAUAUUACAGCUUGGACAUGAUCUGCAAGGUGUGGUUGUUCAAUUUCUGAUUGUUUGUUUUUAGAUUUUUGCUAAUGACAAAUGAAACUUAUUUUACCUUCUUGCUACAAAAUUUGGGGAGUACCCUUAUCGAGUUAUGUAAUUUCAUGAACAUACCUAUAGAUGAACAAAAAAAGAACAUGUAAUUUAUGUGAUCUCAUCAUCAGUUGUCUCAGUACUUUGGCAAGGAUGCCUUGCAUUUGAUUUAAUUGAUCAGGUGGUUAACUUCUCUCUUCUUUUGAAUUUUUCACCAAAUAUCCUUUAUUUAUUUAUUUAUUUAUUUUUGCCCAAUUUAUUUAUUGUUCUUUUAACUUUUUAGAUGUUGAAGUUGAAGGAUUGAAUGAACUGAAAGCUAGUAAGAUGAAAAUACUUGUUCUAAAGAAGCAAAAUGAGUUUGAUUAAAUUGACAGAAAUGUCCAUAUGGAUGUUGAUGUUGAAGGAAAAAGACAAAUCCUUAUCAAUCUCAUCAGCUCUUUUUUUUCUUCACUAAUGAGUUAUUAAGGCUUUGUCAAGUUCCAAUAUAUCACUUAAAUUUAUAGGCAUUGAUCUUGCUAUGUUCUUGUACCUAAUGCUUGCAAAGUGACUGAAAUUCUUAUCUGUCCUAUGACUUCCUUUUAGUGUGUUGUUCCAAAAAUGUUUACUUAUUGGUGUGUACAUGUGCAUGUUUCUAGUUUCUAGUACCCAUAUAUUAAGUUGCAUUGCAAGUAGAAUUUUUUGAUGGAAGGUCAACUACCAUAGUGUCCAGACUGCAGAGUAAAUUGACAUUUAUGUAUACAUAUUACAUGGAUAUGUACAGACCAAUGCAAAGAUUUGCAUGAAUUCAUCUAAAGCAUGGCCGUAAGUUUCGUUGUAUGCUUGGUGAUGGGGUUUCAUCAUCGGGUAUCAUAUACACGUAUAACUGUGAUGAUAAAGGGUGGUUCAGGACGAGUCUCCUGCCAAGGGUUGAGCAGGGUCAGUUCUCACAAAUUUAAGCAGAAAGGUGGUCUUUUAUGUUUUUUUUUUUUUGGGCAUACUGACCAGUAUAUAAUGGUUUCAUGUUUAAAUUUUAGUGGGAGACCUAGAUUUUGACUGUAUUCUCAAGUAUGGUGUAGUCGUGAACUUUGUUACUCAUUGGAGUUGCAAGGAUACUUUGAUGGUAGUAGUUAUUGAAGAUAACAUGUAUGGCUUACAUGUCUCUUAUAAGUGUAAAGUUGAGAUAUUAUCUGGUCAUGACUUAUGGCAGUAUAAUUAACUGUUGUCAUUCAGUGAGAAUAAUCAUGUUUUUUGAAGAUUUAAAAUUAUAACAAUCAUUAGGUAUUUUAAUUUCCGUCUCAGUUCAUUAGCAUUUUCUCUUGUGGUACUGUACUUCUUGGGUUGUUUGGGCUGCCAAGUUUACAUUAGGUGUUUUAGUUUCUUUUUUCAGUUAGUAUUGUCUUCGUUCAUGGUACUGUAGCUUUUUGGGUUGUUUGGGCUGCAAUAGUUUACAAGCCUACACCCAGGUGGAUUGAAUAUGCUAUAAUUUCGUUCUUUUGAAAUUUUUCUCUAGAGAAAGUUUCUUUCUCUCAACUUGUCUUGCACCUGAUAAGUUGAUCUGCAUGCAUUGAAUCUUAGAACUUUAUUCGGAUAAUUAUAAAAUUUUGGUUUAUGAAUAGACUGCACAUCUUUUGGAAGCUUCUGUGUGUUGGUUUUAAUGAAAAUAUCAUUUUCUGAAAGUUCUUUGAUGUUUUGGUAUAGUGUUUAUCAAGGAUUAUCAUUUGCUUAUCAGACCCAUAUCGGUCCUGGUUGGACUGGUACGAUGGUACAGGUAUACCGACAUAUAUGCUGAUACAUACCAGCAUUUCAAAAAUGAAGAACAAGAAGGAGAAGAGGAAGGCACAAUGGAGAAAGAGGAGGAAGGAGGUGGAAAGAAGAGGGAGGAGGAGGAGAAAGAGAAGGAUGAGAAGAUAGGUAUGGCAAUCAACGAGCAUUGGGCAACCAUGUACUGCUGUAUGAGGAGAAAUGAGGGCUUGCAUUCGGGGAGAAGAGGGCUCAUGAAUGCAAGCUCUAAUGGCUAUUUUUAUUUUUUUUAACGGUCGGGCCGGAUUGGCCUGAAAUGGGGCGAUCCGCAUAUUGGUUCAUGUUCGCGUACCUGUUCAUGGUGGGGACAGCCCACAAUCCAAUUCAUGCCCAUGUAUUGGUUCAUGGUGGGGGCAGUAAGUACCACCUGUUUUGUACCAGUCCGAGCAAAACAUCAAUCAAUGGUGCAAUUGUUAGAUAGAUAGGAAGAUUAUAUCAAUCUGGCAGCAACGAGAAGCGGUCAAAUGACAAUUCCAGGAAAUAAUGGUCUGCUCACCAGUCCUAUGAAUAAUUGAGGGCUUUCUGAGGCACUAUCUGGUCCUGAAUCUUUUGCCAAAAAGGAUGCUGCCCCAUGAAGAGUUGUCCUGGGCUCCCUCACUUGAAACACCACAAUGGUCACUGAGACCUCUUAGAGAAGGAUUGUUAUCAGUAUCGGAGCUCCUUACAUUAUUCACUCUGCUCCUGCUCAAAGAGUUGCUAUCUGUUACAGUGCAAAGUAAAGAGACCAAGGAGAAAAAAACUCUGCCGAUGGCCACUAUCACUCUCUGAUGUUGAGGACUCUGCAAUGAACAUUACUGGUCAGGUGGCAUGGAAUAUGGAGAUGUCGAGAGGAAAGUGAGAAAGAUUUAAAGGUGUUUGAAGAAGUGGGGAUUUGUGUGCCUGUGGAUUAAAGACACAAGCAUUGUUGUUCAAAAAGAUUAGUGGAAUGCAGCAACUAGUCCGUGUAUGGAUGUUUGGCCCUUCUGAUAGAUGGACCUUUCUUCCAGUGCUGAUCACAUCAAGAUACUGUACUGAAAAGGACUACAGGAUUAGGCAGGAGCAUAAAGAAUAACCAACCUUUGUUGUCCUGAGAUUAGAGGUUAGAUAUGAACUCAAGAAACAACAAUUAUCAUUACAGAGAUACGCUGGGAAUUGCUGCUGCGUUAAUCAUGCAGUUGGUUCUUUCCAUAGUGACUUCCUUGCAGAUAUGAACUUCUUUGGCUGGUGGGCUGAUGAACUGAGUUGGUUUCCAGGAGAGCAAUGGUCUUAGCACCAUGACAUAUUUUUCCACCAAACUUUUCUCAGCUGGAAUAAUUCCUUCUGGGUUUAGUUCAAUGUGAAAUAUGGCUUCCUAAUUAAGUUAUGCUGGCUUUGCAGAUUUUGCACUCUAUAUGAUCAUAUACUUGUUGGAAGUUUGAAGAACAAGCUAGGAUUGGAUACUUCUAAUACAGAAUUUUGCUACA